AGAAGGGGGAGGGGGAGCAAAACCUCCCUGUGGGCGGCUCCCUCGCGCCAUGUCAGGGUUUCAGUUAGUGCCCGCGGACGGGGGCUGCCCUGUGACGCUGCCGCGCGGGGAGACAGUGAUAGGAAGAGGCCCCCUGCUGGGCAUUACAGAUAAGCGAGUAUCUAGGAAACAUGCCGUAUUAGAAGUGGUGGGUGACCAGCUCCGUAUCAAACCGGUCCAUGUAAAUCCUUGUUUUCUUCAGUCAUCUGAAAAUGGUGACCUAUUACCACUGGAGACACAUGAGUGGCACUCUUUGAACCCAGGUGACAGCUUUUCCCUGUUAAUAGACAAAUAUCUUUUCAAGGUCCUUUUUGCUCACUCAGAUGUGGAAAGUACACUAAGGAAAAAUCAUAAGGUUAAUGUACAAGAACCACUGAAUUUUCCUUCAAGUGUUGAUCCUGUUGAGCUGUCAUGUAGUCCAACAUGUCCUAAUAGUGAUAUCCAAGUGGAAGGCUGUUCCCAGUUGGAAAGAAAAGCCGAAAUGCCAAAAAACGAAACAGCUUCCAGAGAUUCAGUUUUUCCUGCCAAUUGUAAUGAAAAUGAACAACAAAAACCUGCCCAGAGGAAAAGGGUGCUUCCACCUUGGAUGCUGCAAGGAGAUUUAGUGGUUCAAAACCUUUCUACCCCAGUCACUAAAAGAGGUUGCAGAGAAACAAGAGGGAAAGAAAAAAACAGCAGGGAACUCUCAGAAUCAAAAGUGAGAAAUGUUCAAGUUAGAAAACGAUUAGUUACUGAAGACAUUGGAGAGGACUGUGAAGACACAGAGCAAGUUCAGGGAAAGAAGAGCAAAACUACUGAAAAAGACAACACAUCACAGAGUACAUCUGGAACCCCAUUUGCAAUGGCUGUGAAAAAAAUAGAAGGGAAUGAGAAGUCUGUGAUACAAAAGACUGAAAGAUCUAUGGAAAAAAGUGAUUGGCAACCCCAUAGCCAAGUUUCUGACCACAGGCUAGUUGCAGAAGGCCAGCUCUGUACUAAGACCAAAAAGACCAAUGAAAUGGAAAACUUGGAACAGAUCAUCCCUUCUGCAAGCCAACCAGCUCACCAGGACAAAUCAUCCCAAUCUCGGGUUUCACAGGAUGAGACUCCAGAGCUUGACGUAAACUCAGAUCCCGGUACUGGAGUUUCUGAUUCAACAGGAAGGAAAGAUGCUCUGCAGAGUUCUAAGCAAACCCAGCACAAGAGGGUCCCUUGCAUGUAUGGAACAGGUUGUUACAGGAAGAAUCCAGUUCACUUUCAGCAGUUCAGUCACCCUGGAGACAGUGAUUAUCAUGAUGUACAGGUUGCAAGUGAAGAUGACAGCGAUGACAGACCUGAAUGCCCAUAUGGAAGUACUUGUUACAGCUAAAAUUGAUGGCAGCUGGUUAGCUGAUUUAUUGGACAAAAGCAUGUGAAAAAAUGAAGAGUACUGGAGUGAACUGAUGCAUGAUGAACUUCCUUUACCAGAAUUUGGCUAGAAACAUUGACUCUAAGAAAAUGUUUUUAAAAUGAAGUACUGCUUUGAAACCUGACAGCUAUCAGUUUCACGAGUAAGCUGAAUUCUGUUCCAUCUUGUGACUCAGCAUAGCUCUUUUAGUUGCUUUUCAGUUUUUAAAUUCAACCAUAUAUGGUAUAUCCUGUGAGAGUACCACCAUCAUCAGAAGAAAAUGAAUGCCCACCUUUCAUAAAAAUAUACAAACUGUAUUCUAAAAUUCUUUUUAAUUUGUUUUAUUUUUAAUCUCAAGAAAGGCUACAGCCUAAACAAUUUGUGAAAGAAAAUGCAUAAUUACCUUUUAAGAAUUCUCUGUUUGUGAACUUCUGUUUCAAUAAACGAAAAACUAGCUGACCUGAAUGUACUGCUUUAGGUAAGACUAGAUUUUUUUUAAGCAUCCUGAUGCUUUCAUAGCUUAGUGUUUCAGUUUCAUAGUAGCUAGGGUCAGGAGGGACCUGAACAGAUCAUUUAGCCUGACCCCCUGCCACAAGCAGGAAUGAAUGCUGGGUUCACAAGACCCCAGACAGGUGAUCGUCCAACCUCUUCUUGAAUUUGCCCAAGGUAGGGAUGAGGACCACUUCCCUGGGAAGUUGGUUCCAGAUUUUGGCCACCCUAACUGUAAAAUAUUGCCUUCUGAUCUCCAACCUAAACCUAUUCUCCAUCAGCUUAUGACCAUUGUUCCUCGUCACCCCAGGUAGUGCUGGGGAGAAAAGAGCUCUGCCUAUUUGCUGUUGAUCCCCCUUGAUGAGCUUAUAGGCAGCCACCAGGUCCCCCCUCAGCCUCCUCUUGCUGAGGCUGAACAGGUUCAGGUCCUUCAGUCUCACCUCAUAGGGCCUGUCCUGCUGCCCUCUCACCAAGUGGGUGGCCCUCCUCUGAACCCUCUCCAGGCUGGCCACAUCCCUUUUGAAGCGCGGCACCCAGUACUGGACGCAGUACUCCAACUGCAGCCAGACCAAAGUUGCAUAGAGGGGGAGUAUCACAUCUCUGGACCAGCUUGAGAUGCACCUUGUUGGCUACGGUCUGGCAUUGGCAGCUCAUGUUCAUCUUGGAGUCAGUAAUGACUCUGAGAUCCCUUUCCGCCUCUGUGCUUUCAAGAAGGGAACUCCCCAGACUGCAUGUAUGCUGUGGAUUCCUUCUCCCAAGGUGCAGCACCCUGCAUUUGUCUACGUUGAACCCCAUCUUAUUCUCGUCUGCCCACUUCUGUAGUCUGUCUAAAUCUAGCUGCUGUCUCUCUCCCUACAAGUGUGUCCACCUCGCCCCACAUCUUAGUGUCAUCAGCAAAUUUGGACAGCGUGCUUUCCACCCCCUCGUCCAAGUCGCUGAUGAAGACGUUAAACAGUCGGGCCUGAGGACAGAGCCCUGGGGUACCCCACUGCUCACAUCUCGCCAGGUUGUGUACAACCCGUCCACCUCUACUCUCUGGGCGUGCCCCUUCAGCCAAUUUUUUUUACUCAUCCAACUGUGCAGGCAUCUAUGCCAGAGUGACUUAAUUUAUUGAUGAGGAUGGGGUGACAGACAGUGUCAAAGGCCUUCUUAAAGUCUAGAAAGACUAUGUCCACAGCAACAGCAUCAUCCAAGGAUUUAGUUACUUUGUCGUAAAAGGCAAUCAGGUUGGUCUGGCAGGACCUGCCUUUGGUGAACCCAUGCUGAUUGCCCCUGAGCGUGAUCUCCCCUGCAGGCCCCCCACAGAUAUGCUCCUUGAUGAUCCUUUCCAAGAGCUUCCUGAGCACCGAGGUGAGGCUUAUAGGCCUAUAAUUACUUGGGUCCUCCUUCCUCCCCUUCUUAAAAAUAGGGACCACAUUAGCCAGUUUCCAGUCCCCCGGCACCUGGCCAGAUGACCAUGAAUGCUCAUACAGCUGGGCCAAGGGCUCUGUGAUGACCCCUGCCAGCUCCCUCAACACCCUUGGGUGGAGGGCAUCUGGACCUGCAGAUUUAAAAAUGUCUAGCCCUUCCAGAAGAUCCCUAACUACAUCUGGACUGACUGAAUGCUUGAUAGAGCUAUCCCCAAGAUUGUCCCUACCUCUGGUAGGUGGGAUAUCCCGGUCCCUGUUCAGGAAAACGGAGGCAAAGAAACUGUUAAAAAUAUCAGCUUUCUUGUUUGGCGUGUCCACCAGAUUACCAUUUGUGUCUUGCAGGGGCCCUACAUUGCCUGGUGCCCUCUUCUUGCUCUCAAUGUACUUGAAAAAGUACUUUUUGUUGUCCUUAAUCCUGGCCGCCAGCCUGAGUUCCAUCUCUGCCUUGGCCCUCCUAAUAGCCCUCCUACACUCCCGGGCCGAGGAGGAGUACUCCUCCUUGGUGAUAGUUCCUGCCUUCCACUGGUUGUAUGCCCCCCUUUUAGUCCUCAGGCAUUCCUGAAUACCGGUGAGCCAAGGGGGUUUCUGAGCACUCCUACCCCCCUCCUUGCUUCUCUCAGGGACUGUUAUUGUUUGGGCCAGGAGGAUCAUCCCCUUAAGGUACGAUCAUCCACCGUGGGCUUCCAUCUCUACCUUCUGGGCCCUCAGUGCCUCCCCCACUAGUCUCCUAAACUCAUUGAAGUUGGCCCUUCUGAAGUCAAGGGCUUUAUUUAGCCUUGGUGCGAGCCCUAGACACCCUGUGUUGGAUAGUGUGUCUGUGUUUUUAGCAGAGAAUUUUCCUUAAAUCUUUUCAGCUCUAUCUUAGAUUGUGUUCCUCUGAUGGGUUCUAAGCUGGAACUAAGCAGAAUAUCAAUCCCUUCAGUCAUCUGAAUUAAAAGAAGCAUAAUCUAGACAUUUAAAUUGGAUUAAAAGAAUAAAAAAAAAGAGAUUGUCAAAAAUCUUUAUGGAAAAAGGAAGUUAUAAUCAUAAUAAAAUGUUAUAGUUUGGGCUUAAUAGGAGGUACAUAAUUUUAUCGUGAAGUAAUUUAGAUGCUUCUAUUGAGCAUUUCCACUGAAAUUUUCCUUGUAAAUUAAUCAACAAUUAUCAUUCAGUUUUGUGUUGUUUCAAUUGCAUCCUGUACCACAAAUCAAUCUGACCAGGGUUCUAGUACUUUAGCACCUCCCAAACUAUUCAUGCGGAAAAGGAAACUGCAGGAAGAGCACAGACUUGACAUUUCCAAAGGAGACACUAUAUGACAGAAAUCAGCAGCAAGGGUAAAUACUGAAAAGUCACCUGCUGCUUCUCCAGCCCCCCUUGGUCUUCCUUUCCCCCUUGCUGCAGCUGCCUCUUCUCCCACCAUGGACUUUUCCACUUGCAGCAAUUGUCACAGGAAUGGGCAGUGAAGCUAAGGGGUGGAACUGAGUUAGUAGAACAUGAGAGGAAGAGAGCAGCACUUGCACAGAGCAAGGAGGGCUGGGGUGGCUUCAGUUCAGGGGCACAUGAAUGGGGAUGGGGAAUGGAGAAUGGGGAUGUACCAUAAUGACUACUUCCAAGUGAGAAGGGCUGGAAUACACUUAGCUUUUACUAAAGUCCAUCAUUACACCUGCUUAUUUUGACCAGAAGAGGCAGCUAGGGAUUGAGUCCAGUUUCAGUUUAUGACAAAUUCCCAGUUUCAAGUAAAACUCAGUUACUUGGCCAACUGAAAAACAAUUGUUUUCACUCUAAAUGUUUUUCUUGGUUAAAUCUUUAGCACAAGUCAAAUAGCAAAGCAGCUGAGGGAUUAACUCAUGGCAUUGAAGUGAUCUUGCUCAUGACCGGCUACUGUGCACCUGUCUGCAUAGUAGACUUCUAUGCGCCUAUGUAUGCUGCACCUCUGGGAACAAAAAAAAAUUAAUAGACAACACAGGAGUACUCAUAAAUUGAACUGCUAGUGGAAAGCUGUCAUUCUCAAAUCAGUAGAAUGUUUGAAUCAUGGGCUUUCAUGAUAUAUUAUGUUUUUGCAUUGCUUCUGUUUGCUGCAGGCUUCCAUUACUAUAAAAGUGUUAGUCUUAACAGAUUUGCACAGUAUGCUGUAGCUGAAAGUAGACUUAAAUGUUUGGAGGAAAGAGGUAGUGGCUUAUUCCAGCCUCUUUUUAAAGGAAUCUCAAAAGUGGUGUGGGUGGAUAGGAGUGUUUGGAUGCAUGUGUGUGGUUGGGUGUGUUUGGUGAUAUACAGACCAUUUUAUAAUGUUUUCUAACUUAUCUGCACUAUAAAAUUAGUUUAGACAAAAACAUCUUUCAGAUUCUUGUCUUGCUAAAAUGAUUGCUAAUUAUCACGUCGGCUGUUAGUUGCAGAUGGUAUAUUUUUGUUCUGAAGAAUGAUUGCCUAUAAUUUAGUCUUUUAAUUUUGUAAAAACCUGUUGAGUUGGUCAUAAAUAAUAUCAAAAAGUAAACAUCUUCAAUUAUUUAUUUAUUCCAUUUGUAAAGAAUUGCAGCCAACAACUUAGCAAACUUUCUGUAUUCUUCAUCUCAUUCUCAUGCCAAAACUUAAAAUAUUUUUCUUAUUUAGCUUUAUACUUUAAAAUUUGGUAAUUCUUGUUUGACUAUUUGUCUUGCCUUUUCUCUGCAUUUGUCAGGGAACAGAGUUCCACAUAGUUAGGUGGGGAGUUUGCUUAUGAUGUAAAUGUCAGUCUUUAAGUGUAGUGGAUUCCUUCUACUUGCUGUAUGGUCAUCUCUUAUGCAAAAGGAAUAUUGUGAGAUUAUGAAUAAGGGUCUACUUAAAUCACUACACCACGAUCAACCUACAAAAGCCAGUAAGUAAAGUUCUAAUUCCACAGUUGUUUUGUGGCAGCCUUACCCCUCGCCAUUGAUUGUUGGGAGAAGGGCCAAGGGAGCGGGGGGCUGCCAUAUUGAUUGCUGACUGCCCUUUGUGUAGCCCCACCCUUUGGUGCUGAUUGGUGGAGAGGCCCUGGCAGGGGGAGGAAGGAUAAGGGGGCAACUGCCAUCUUUUCUGCUGUCCUUUGUGCUGCCCUGCCAGACGGUACCUUCCCCUCCCAGCAACAGGAACUACUGGCUUCUACUUUUUUGUUAAAUAUUUUUAAAAAAUUGAUUUCAUGGACAGUCCUGGAUUUCAGUUUCUGUGAAACUGCAAAUUAAGUAGGUCCCUAGUUAUGAGUUAGUGGGAGGUGUGUGUGUUUUGGGGGGAUGAUGAUGAUUAUUUCAAAAACAAUUCAUGGAAAAAGCUAGAAUCCAGAUAAUUCUCAUUAAACUAUAGUGAUCUGAAGGCAAGUCCAAUUUGGGUGUGGCAUUCAUUGUAGAAUCAGAGAAAAUGAGGGUUGGAAGGUGUCGGGACCCAGGUCAGCCGGCCAGCAGCUGUCCUUGACUCCCACCUGGGCAGUGGUCGGCAGAGGGUCGGUCCGGGGGCCUUAGAAGCUGUCAGGCGGGUACUUGUGACGCUUGGAGUGAAAUUAAUUAGGCGGACGCUUAUCGGUUGCAAAGCAAGAUUAUUUAUUUACGCCAUCAAGGUGGUGAAAGAUGGAGGUCAGAGAUACUUGGUUAGUUACAGUUUAGAAUUUAUGAGGUUGGUCUGCCAAGUAGGUCAGUUCGCAAAAGUGGUCGGGGCAGAAGGUCGGGCCGGCGGUCGUCGAUUACGAACUGGCAAGUGAUCAAAUUGCCAGUUUACUCUAACACCUGUGUUAGAGGUCUCCAGGUGUAUAUGGAGUCGCUCUCUCCGACUUCACGGAAAUGCAGCGGGGUUUUGUUUGUGUACUAGCCAAUUGCUUUUCGCCACGUCAUAAAUUUAAUUAGAAUCGCCAAUUAUCUAGCGGUCUUCGCUAGGGUAUUAUCACAGGGUUACUCCUUGUUUUCUUUGACCAAUUAUAAUGAUUUAUGUACAGCACAGAAGGCUAAGUUCUGUCUCUGUUAGUGGCGCAGCAAUAAAUUUCUUUUUGACAUGCGUAGCAAAAAAAAGAAGCUGUUACUAUCAUUUUGUUAGUUAACUCUUAGUUAACCUAGUGCAGACUAAAACUGUUUUGAAUGGUUUUACUUGCUUGUGACAUGGGCACUACUUAAUUGGGUUGUGACAGAAGGGACUUCAGGAUAUCAUCUAGCCCAAACCCUUGCUCAAAGCAGGACCAUCCCCAACUAGAUCAUCCCACCCAAGGCUUUGUCUAGCCAGGUCUUAACCUCCAAGGAUGGAGAUUCCACCACCUCUCUGGGUAGUCUGUUUUAGUGCAUUACUACUCUGCUCAUGAGAGGUGUUUUACUUUUCAGCUCACCUAAACUUCCCUCGCUGCAACUUAAGAUAAUUGUUUCAUUGUUUCUUGUCAUCUGCCAGCACUGACAACAGUUUAGCUGCAUCCUCUUUUGGAACCACCCUUCAAGUAGUUGAAGACUGUUAAAUCCCUCUCUGUUUUCUCUUCUGCAGAGAGGCUGAGGGACCCAGGCUUAUUUACUUUGGAGAAGGCAUGUGCCCCAGCUCCCUAACUGUUUUUGUUGCUGUCCGCUGGGCUGUCUCCAGAGUCCACAUCCUUUCAAUACUGGGGGGCCCAGAACUGGGCACAGUACUCCAGAUGAGGCCUCACCAGUGCUGAAUAAUCUUUUUCCUCUAUCUGCUGGCAAUGCUCCUACAAAUACAGCCCAGUAUGCUGUUAGCCUUCUUUGUAAUAAGGGCACACUGUUGGCUCAGAGAAGUUGGAUUCUCCAUACAAUAUUAGGUGAGUGAGGAACAAUUGAUAAGGCUUUUUAAUUUUGAUCUGUCCCAAAUCCAUAAUAACUUUUUUGCCAGGGAACUCUCUUUAGUACAUUCAGAAUUACUGCACUCUCUGAGUAGUAGUUCCUGUUUUCCUUCAUUCCUCAAAUAUUGUCAGGCAUGAUGAGAACAUAUUUCUGGAAUUAUUAGUUUCUACUUCAAAUUUCUGUUGUUUAAGAUAGGGUUUUAUUAUAGAAAUUGUAGGCAAAACAUUGCAUCUGAAUUAUGUGGAAGAAACCAAGAAUUAUAUUUCUGCCAACUCCCUCAUAUGCUCAUUCUCUAGUCCUCCUGCCCUAAUCUGGGCAGAUUUACAUCCUUUAUUUAAUAUUAAAUAUCGAUUUAUUUUACUGUUCCUAUCUAUUUUCACUUUUCAACAUGCCACAUAAUUUUGUAAGGAAAGCAUAACUGCAUUGAAGUCUGUAGUUGCUACAUCAGUAGCUGAACCUGUUGGAUAGGAAAUUGUUUGGGAUACUGAUAUCUAGCAAGAUGCAGGAGUCUUUGGUUUCUGAAAGCCAGAUGAAGAUUUUGCUUUUAGGCAGCAGGUAGAUCUCAUUUUUCCUGUCUCCUUCUGAUAGGAAGUGGAUGGAGCUUUCAAUCUGAGAUGCUGGAGAUGGGGACCUGUCCCACUAUCUGCCAUCCUGUCAGCAGUGAUAAAGAAUUGAAUUAAUUUGAUUGUCAUCCCAAAAUGACUAGCAGUAAAAUACUUAAUGUUAGUGUUGUUACUUAUCUUGGGUUUAAAUAAUAAUAACUUAAACUGAGUGGAUCAGUUGACACAUUUGAUUUUGAUUCUGCAGAAAACUUAAAAACAGUUAUCUGGUUGCAUUUAGUUCAAAUUAUUUUCAGUUACAAAGCCUGCUGCUUAUGUGUGACUGUUAACAGUAGUGACAUUUCAUCUCAUGGGCAAGAAUAUGUUAAUGAUUUAAAUUGAAAGAUGUUAACUCCCCCCCCAUGGCUUCUUCAGUGGUAUUAAAAGACUUAACCUACAGCAGCCAUACUUCCUGGCCAGCCCUUCUUUCUCUGUUUCUCAUAAAUGAGUCAUCCUGAAAAUGAGUAGUCUUGUUUAGAUUGUUUACUAUUUUUUAAAUUGUUCUCAGAAAUAUUGCAAACCAAAAAUAUAAUUCAACUGAAUAUUUCAAUAUAGACAAGCUGCAGAAAGCUGAAACAAUAUGUUUGCUGAAAUUAUUUUAUUUUUUAGAUUAGUUUGAAAAAAUCUCUAUAGGAUUCUAAGUCAUUUGAAUUAUAUAAAGCUCUGAGAAAUCAGCUUUCUUAAUGGUGGUUAAGAAAAUGUUCCGAGAUGAUGAUGAUGAAAAUAAAUAUAAAUAUAAAGCAAUGCAUGAAAAUGGUUCAGUGCAAGUAAAAUAAAUUAUACAAACACACAAGUAUGAUUCUAUUUUUAAAAUAGCCGUUUUAGAACUGAUUUAUUUUUUUAAAGAAAUCUCAAUUAUGAUUAAAAAAAAAAAAAGCUCUGGGCCAUUAACAAACCUACUAAGGAUGUUCAUACAAAAAGUGGAAUCUUGGUCAUAUUACUAAGGAAGAGUAUGGGAGUAUUGCAUGGGUGUGCAGAGAGAAAAUUAGGAAGGUCAAGGGAUGAUUUGAGAUGCAACUAGCAAGGGAUAUAAGGCAAUGAAAAUGGAUUCUACAAGUACUAUAUGUACUCAAAAUAGAAACCAGCUCCGAAGUUCUCUUUAAAUGCAGCCAACUCUAAGUAUGACUAUAAAGUACAUAGCACAUAUUGGGAAAACAUGCUGAUAGGUUAGUAGAGCCUGUCUGACUAAGAUGUAUGGUAGUGCCCAUCAAGUAAAAUGCCCUUCAGCACCAACUCUUUCAAGUCACAGUGAGCCACUACAUUGCAUAUAUUUCCACUACUUUUCACUCUCACAGCUAAGCUGUGCCUUUCUUUCCCAUUUCUAAUGAGUCAUAUUUCUUCACCAGCCUUCAUAGCUGGUGAACAUCACAAAUUGGGUCCCAAACAGUUCACCCAAAAUCCUUCUGUUGCCUCUUCUCUUGGCCUGCUGCAUAUGAUUAAUGUGGCCCUGCCCUCCAUGAAGUGAAGCUGGACCAGGUUGCCCCAUGCCUCAUCUGCAUAUACAUUUUUGAGCAUCUCAGGACUCAUGACAAAAACACCAAUUAGUCAUGAGUGGGGGUUAAUUAGUACAUAGCUUCUUUAUAGGGGAUAUUUGGAGUAUGCACACAUACUGUGUAGUGCUGAGCUGUGGGGUCACUAUGAUUUGAAAUGCUGUUGACUCUUGUGGAGCCAACUGUCACAGGCCAGCUAGGCGCUGUGAGUGUAUCACCUGUUAGGCUGCUGGGUUCGGGAUCAAGGAGGCGAGUCAGGAGUGAAGUAAAGGCAAAUUUACUUAUAGCUUAGCAUACAACAGUUAACAGAAAGGUUAAUGUGACAAACGAAUAGUACAAUAAUAAAGAGGUAAUAGUGAAUAAUAACAACAGAUAGACAAAAUGACAGAGUUCCAACAGAUAGACAAAAUGACAGAGUUCCCACAAGGGGUUGGCAACUUAUCUGUAGUCCCUCUGUGCCAGGUGUGCGCCAAGUUGUUCCAGCGAAGUCAGGUGUCCCCAAUCAACGCUGUCCGAGGGGUCACUGGGAAGAUCCCUCGGUCAGGAUCCAGUCCUCGUUCACACUGGGAGUCCAGGGUCCAGGCUUGGUACAGCAAUGGUCUUUCUGUCCUGUCCUUCAAACUGGUUACUUGACAUGAGCGUUCCUUUAUGCCUUAUUUUAUGCUAAUCUGUUGGCUUUAGAGCCACUCACAAUCUUGCCCUAUAGCUGUUACCCUGUGGGAUUAAAAGGUGUUAGAAAUGAUCAUGAAAGGUUGCUGCCUGAACUCAGGUUCACCCAAUAAGCAAAUUACACCAGAUUACUUUGAGGUUUGAAAUUAGCAUUACUCUGCCCAAGCUCAACCCCUUGGUUUCUUAUUCCUUUGGAUUCCUUGGAAUGUGCUAAUUAUAUUAGGUGGUCAGAUCUUGUUAUGGCUGACCUUUAAAAAAAAACCAAACCUGUUAGAUCAGCUAAUCUUGUAGUUCUGCUUAUUUUGGGGGCUCAGUCAGUCCCAUGAUCAGUGUGAACAGUUAGAUUCAACACUUUGGUUAAAUUGUGACAGAUAAAUUCCACUUGCGGGUUGCAAACUUGCGAGCUUUGCAUUAGCUAAUCUUAACUGCCAGAUAAUUGCCUGGAUGCCUCUAAGAGCAUAUAUGUUUUUCCAUAUGUAAAGUUGUACCAAAGUGCUACUUAAAAAUGUUUAUUGUAGAGUACCUGUGCUAAAAUUUACAGCAUUUUCAAAAAAGGGUAAAAUGUAUCAAUUCUGGAUGAACUAAGUCUAUGGGUACUAUAUGCAAAUUACUGCAGCUAUGUUUACUUCAAGGUCAGUUUUUAAAUUUGCCCUUCACUUCCAUGUGCUCAGAGAGAGCAGGGUCUGACAGUAAGGAGGGAGGGAAAGGGCUGCAGUAGAAAAAAGUUGCAGAGGACAAAGGGGCUACCUGAACUCUUAGAUUUAUUUUCCCUGCUAUAGCAGUGGGAGGGGGACAAAUUCAUGACAAACCUCAAAAAAAUUAUAUUCCAUACCUGGAAAAUUGUAUCAAAUGUAUUUAUCUUCAGUAUAAAAUGUAAUUAUUGGGGGGUGGGGUGGGGAUCAUCUUGUAAUCAGGGCCAUCUUAUAUUCAAGUAAAUACAGUAAAUAAAAAAUAAUACCAAAGAAACCACAGUUCUCCUCUUGAAAACCAGAAGGCAGUGUAGUUACAGAUGAUGCAGAGAAUAUUUAAAGCCUUUUUUUACUUCAGUCUUCACAAAUAGGGGCAGCAACUGGACUAUGAGUUCAGUUGACAGCAAAGAUGGGGAAGGAAACAAACAGCCCAGCAUAGUGGAAGAACAGGUUAAGAAAUAUUAGAUAAACGAAAUACUUUCAAGUCAGCAGGGACAAAUGGGGUGGGGGGAGGGGGGAUAUGCUUUCGGUUACUAAAGGAAUUGGCUGAGGUAAUGUUUGAAUGAUGACUGAAUAAGGGUGAGUACAGUGUUUGUUUGUAAGAAAGGGAAAAAGGAGGAUCUACGGAAUUACAAACCAGUUAGCCUGACCUUGAUACCUGAAAAGAUCAUGAAGCAGGUCUUCAGGGAAUCUAUUGUGAAGGACCUAGAGGAGAACAUGGUGAUCAGGAACAGUCAGCAUGGAUUCACCAAGAGCAGGUCAUGUCUGACCAACCUGAUUUCCUUUUUUGGUAAGGUAUCAAGCUCUGUUGAUCAGGGGAAGAGCAGUGGAUAUGGUAUACCUUGACUUUAUCAAAGCUGUUGACACAGUCUCCUGCAACAUUCUCAUUAACAGACUAAGGAAGUAGAGACUAGAUGAAAGCACUGUAAGUUCAACACAUAACUGUUUGGAUCAUUAUGCUCAAAAAGUAGUCAUUAAUGUCAGGAUGGGAGGAGGGAGGUAUCAAGUAGAGUUUCCCAGGAGUCUGUCCUGGGUCUGGUAUUGUAUAACCUCCCCAUUAAUGAUUUGGGCAAUGAGAUUGAGUGCAAACUUAGCAAAAUGCAGAUCACAUCAAGUUGGGCGGACUUGCAGACACUCUGGAGGGAUUCAGAGUGCCUGGGAUAAAUUGAAGAAAUGAUCGGAAAUAAAUCAAAUAAAAUUCUACAAGGACAAAUACAAAGUUCUACACUUGGAACAGAAUAAUUGUCCCAUAAAUACAGACUAAGGAAUGACUUGCUAUUCUGCCGUAUUGCAGAGAAGGAACUGGGGGUUACAGUGGACCAUAAGCUAAAUAUAAGCCAACAGUAUGCUCUUACUUGGAGAGAGAGAGAAAAGAGAAAAAAAGAAAAAGCCAACAGUUAGUCAGUUAUAUCAACAGGAGUGUCACUUGGAAAUCAAAGGAAAAGAUUCUUCCAUACUAUUUGGCACUGGUGAAGCCUUGCUUGCAGUACUGUGUCCAGAUUUGGGCCCCACACUUUAAGAAGAAUGUGGACAGGUUGGAAAGGACCCAGUGCAGAGCGACAAAAAUGAUUAUAGGCCUGGAGAGCAACAUUUAUGAGGAAUGGCUUGAAAGAAGUAGGGUUAUUAGUUUGUGGAAGAGAAGCCUGAGGGUGGAUUUGGUAGCAAUCUUCAAAUGCCUGAACGGUGAUUAUAGAUAGGAUGGAGGUGGGCUUUUCUCUGUGGCUAUAGGAGACAGGACUAUAUGAGCAAUGGCCUCAAGCUGCAGCAGAAGAAAUUUAGGUUGGAGAUAAGGAGGAACAUUCUGACUAUGAGGAUGGUCAAGAAUUAAAACACACAGAAUAUCUAGAAUCUCCUCCAUCGUGGAAAUAUUCGAAAGCAGGUUGUACAAAUGCUUAGCUGGGAUGGUUUUGUUGAACAUGAUCCUGAAUGAAUAGGAUAUUGGACUAGAUUAGAUGAAUUUGUGGGGUCCCUUCCAGCCUUAUUUUCCUCUGUUCCUAUGAGGUUUGAAUACCAUUUAUUGGCAGGAACUUCUCUCUUCACUUUUUCAGUUACAGAAGGAUAACGAUUUGUUAUUGUUGCAGACCAUGAUUGUAAGCUAAACAAUGUCUUUUUUUCACAAAUUACUCUUGGAAACAUGGUACAAGACCCCUGAAUUUCUCCUGAACAAGUCCUGCAACUGUGUGUAGUGACCAGUAUGUAUAGUGUUUGGAUGUCUGCAGACCAGUACAUACUACUUCAUACAACUAAUGAUGCUAUUUAAUACAAAUAAUGGUGCAGAUGACUAUAAACAGUCAAGUUUAACACAUGGCUACUGGGAGGCAGAGUGGUCUGUAAAAGUGGCAGCUUGAAUAUGUAUGAUGACAAGGACAUUUGGAUCCAAUCCUCUUCAGUGUUUUGGAAGUCAGUCAUACUUUGCAUACAAUUUUAAUUCAGGAAGAAUCCACAGCACAAGAUUGAAUACAAGCAUACUGCUCCUCCAGGAACCGAAACAAGAACAACCCACCAAAAAACUCAUAGGAAAGG
RNA transcript from Alligator mississippiensis (American alligator), 14027 nucleotides. It is a transcript of the gene named aprataxin and PNKP like factor, with no coding region annotated. The record is from RefSeq and is a predicted model, not a curated record. The transcript is spliced from 13 exons. NCBI's taxonomy places the organism in Eukaryota, Metazoa, Chordata, Crocodylia, Alligatoridae.